CCUACGGGUGGCAGCAGUGGGGAAUAUUGGACAAUGGGCGAAAGCCUGAUCCAGCCAUGCCGCGUGUGUGAAGAAGGCCUUCGGGUUGUAAAGCACUUUCAGUGGGGAAGAAAGCCUUGGGGCUAAUACCCUCGAGGAAGGACAUCACCCACAGAAGAAGCACCGGCUAACUCCGUGCCAGCAGCCGCGGUAAUACGGAGGGUGCGAGCGUUAAUCGGAAUUACUGGGCGUAAAGCGCGCGUAGGCGGUCUGAUAAGCCGGUUGUGAAAGCCCCGGGCUCAACCUGGGAACGGCAUCCGGAACUGUCAGGCUAGAGUGCAGGAGAGGAAGGUAGAAUUCCCGGUGUAGCGGUGAAAUGCGUAGAGAUCGGGAGGAAUACCAGUGGCGAAGGCGGCCUUCUGAACUGACACUGACGCUGAGGUGCGAAAGCGUGGGUAGCAAACAGGAUUAGAUACCCCUGUAGUC
Molecule: ribosomal RNA, 465 nt
Filed under: Vreelandella stevensii
Lineage: Bacteria; Pseudomonadati; Pseudomonadota; Gammaproteobacteria; Oceanospirillales; Halomonadaceae
Description: partial 16S ribosomal RNA
Rfam family: Bacterial small subunit ribosomal RNA
Source: RNAcentral